Molecule: microRNA precursor, 103 nt
Filed under: Marmota monax (woodchuck)
Lineage: Eukaryota; Metazoa; Chordata; Mammalia; Rodentia; Sciuridae
Source: RNAcentral
AGUGUAAGUGCUGAGUCAUAUGGAAGUGGAAUGUUUAAUUUUAUAAGAAACUAUUGAACUGUUAUCCAAAGUGGCUUUGCUCUUUUCCAUUCCCACCAGCAAU